GUAGACAUAGUUUAAGUAAAAUAUUAGAUUGUGAUUCUAAAGAUAGGGGUUAGACCCCCGUUGUCCACC
This 69-nucleotide transfer RNA is filed under the name Neogobius fluviatilis (monkey goby). Its description in RNAcentral is "tRNA-His". It matches the Rfam family "tRNA". Rfam says of the family: Transfer RNA (tRNA) molecules are approximately 80 nucleotides in length. Their secondary structure includes four short double-helical elements and three loops (D, anti-codon, and T loops). Further hydrogen bonds mediate the characteristic L-shaped molecular structure. tRNAs have two regions of fundamental functional importance: the anti-codon, which is responsible for specific mRNA codon recognition, and the 3' end, to which the tRNAs corresponding amino acid is attached (by aminoacyl-tRNA synthetases). tRNAs cope with the degeneracy of the genetic code in two manners: having more than one tRNA (with a specific anti-codon) for a particular amino acid; and 'wobble' base-pairing, i.e. permitting non-standard base-pairing at the 3rd anti-codon position. The record is from RNAcentral. Lineage: Eukaryota; Metazoa; Chordata; Actinopteri; Gobiiformes; Gobiidae.